GACGAACGCUGGCGGCGUGCCUAACACAUGCAAGUCGAGCGAAGUGAUCUCGAAUGAAGUUUUCGGACGGAAUUCCUGAUCAUCUUAGCGGCGGACGGGUGAGUAACGCGUGAGAAACCUGCCUUUCACAAAGGGAUAGCCUCGGGAAACUGGGAUUAAUACCUUAUGACACUUUAACCUCGCAUGGGGAAUAAGUUAAAGCGUAAAGCGGUGGAAGAUGGUCUCGCGUCCUAUUAGCUAGUUGGUGAGGUAACGGCUCACCAAGGCGACGAUAGGUAGCCGGCCUGAGAGGGUGAACGGCCACACUGGAACUGAGACACGGUCCAGACUCCUACGGGAGGCAGCAGUGGGGAAUAUUGCACAAUGGAGGAAACUCUGAUGCAGCGACGCCGCGUGAAUGAUGAAGGCCUUCGGGUCGUAAAAUUCUGUCCUUGGGGAAGAUAAUGACGGUACCCAAGGAGGAAGCCCCGGCUAACUACGUGCCAGCAGCCGCGGUAAUACGUAGGGGGCGAGCGUUGUCCGGAAUUAUUGGGCGUAAAGGGUUCGCAGGCGGUCUGAUAAGUCAGAUGUGAAAGGCAAUGGCUCAACCAUUGUAAGCAUUUGAAACUGUCAGACUUGAGUUAAGGAGAGGAAAGUGGAAUUCCUAGUGUAGCGGUGAAAUGCGUAGAUAUUAGGUGGAAUACCAGUGGCGAAGGCGACUUUCUGGACUUAUACUGACGCUGAGGAACGAAAGCGUGGGGAGCAAACA
RNAcentral lists this ribosomal RNA (748 nucleotides) under uncultured bacterium. Its description in RNAcentral is "bacterial SSU rRNA". It matches the Rfam family "Bacterial small subunit ribosomal RNA", at positions 28 to 774 of the family's 1533-position model. The record is from RNAcentral.